This 710-nucleotide ribosomal RNA is filed under the name Algiphilus sp. RNAcentral describes it as "bacterial SSU rRNA". It matches the Rfam family "Bacterial small subunit ribosomal RNA", at positions 38 to 743 of the family's 1533-position model. Lineage: Bacteria; Pseudomonadati; Pseudomonadota; Gammaproteobacteria; Nevskiales; Algiphilaceae. The record is from RNAcentral.
GGGAAGGGGGAUGCUUACCAUGCAGUCGAGCGGCAGCAUGCCCUUCGGGGUGAUGGCGAGCGGCGGACGGGUGAGUAAUACAUAGGAAUCUGCCCUAGAGUGGGGGAUAGCCCGGGGAAACUCGGAUUAAUACCGCAUAAUCUCUACGGAGCAAAGUGGGGGAUCUUCGGACCUCACGCUUUAGGAUGAGCCUAUGGCCGAUUAGCUUGUUGGUGAGGUAACGGCUCACCAAGGCCACGAUCGGUAGCUGGUUUGAGAGGAUGAUCAGCCACACUGGGACUGAGACACGGCCCAGACUCCUACGGGAGGCAGCAGUGGGGAAUAUUGGACAAUGGGCGAAAGCCUGAUCCAGCAAUUCCGCGUGUGUGAAGAAGGCCUUAGGGUUGUAAAGCACUUUAAUCAGGGAAGAAAAAGCUUUGGCUAAUAUCCAAAGCCUUGACGGUACCUGAAGAAUAAGCACCGGCAAACUCUGUGCCAGCAGCCGCGGUAAUACAGAGGGUGCGAGCGUUAAUCGGAUUUACUGGGCGUAAAGCGUGCGUAGGAGGCUUGUUAAGUCGGUUGUGAAAUCCCCGGGCUCAACCUGGGAACUGCAGUCGAUACUGGCAAGCUAGAGUUCGGUAGAGGGUGGUGGAAUUUCCGGUGUAGCGGUGAAAUGCGUAGAGAUCGGAAGGAACACCAAUGGCGAAGGCAACCACCUGGGCCUGAACUGA